UCUCGGUCUGCCUCUCUCGUCUCUCUCACUCUCACUCGGCUGAGGUCGGCGCCGCCUCCGGCGCGCCGCCUCGCCGUCGCCUCGUCCCCUCUCUUUUCAUUUCCUCGGUCUCCUCUUCCCUCUCUCUCGCUGGUACAGUCGCCUCCGUCUCCUUCGCGUGCCACUGCCGCCUCCGCCGUGGCCAAGCACGGCGCCGCCUGGUCGUCCCCAGCCUUGGAACAGGGUGGCAGAGACCUCUCCGCCGCUGCAUGUGCCUUCUCCGGCCGUUGUGAAAAGCCGAGCGUCGCCGCGCCGCUUCCCCUGUUCUCCGCCGUCUCCGCCAUGGCCGGAAUCGUGGUGGAUGGCCGAGCCUUGCCUCGCCGUGAAGAACCGCCGUUCGUGUCGCUGCGCCGCUGCUUCCGCCGCGUCGCCGGAAAAGAUAAGUCUCUCCCCCUUUUUCCCGUAUCUCUCUCUCUUUUUUUUAUUUUUACAGAAGCCCUAACCAUCUCUCUCUCUACCCUCUUCUCUCUCGUUUUGGCAGGACAAGGGCUAGCGGCUGUGCCGCCGCCGCCGUCGCCGACCGUGAGCAGCCCCCGGCUGCUCUCACCUCUUUCCCCAUUUUCGGACAUACACAGAAGGCAAAGACACAAGAACCCCCAAAUUCCAGUCACACGCACAAAAGCAAAAUUAGGGUUUUAUUAAUCUGUUCUUUCAAUCAUUCAUUUCCUUUUUAUUAAAACUGAUUGUACAUGUAAUAGAUUAGAGAAUAUAGUAAAAUGUGUGCGUGUGUAUUAUUCUGUUGGUGGUUCUCUGAUGGUGAUAAGCUGAUGUAAUUGAAACAAUAAUAGUCUAAAAGAAGUGGUAAUGGAUGCGUGUGUUCGAUCUGUUUUCA
Molecule: long non-coding RNA, 871 nt
Organism: Salvia miltiorrhiza (redroot sage)
Lineage: Eukaryota; Viridiplantae; Streptophyta; Magnoliopsida; Lamiales; Lamiaceae
Exons: 2
Source: RefSeq, a predicted model, not a curated record